GUCGAGGAUCUUUAGCAAUGGACGAAAGUCUGACUAUGCGACGCCGCGUGAGGGAUGAAGGUUUUCGGAUCGUAAACCUCUUUCGAUGGGGAAGAAAUUUCUUAUCCUAAUAUGGUAAGGAAGUGACGGUACCCAGAGAAGAAGCCACGGCCAACUCCGUGCCAGCAGCCGCGGUAAUACGGGGGUGGCGAGCGUUACUCGGAUUUAUUGGGUGUAAAGGGCAGGUAGGCGUUUCAUCAAGUUAGAAGUGAAAUCCUGUGGCUCAACCACAGAACUGCUUCUAAAACUGAUGGAAUUGAGGCUAACAGAGGAGAGCGGAAUUCCCGGUGUAAGGGUGAAAUCUGUAGAUAUCGGGAGGAACACCAGUGGCGAAAGCGGCUCUCUGGGUUAGCUCUGACGCUGAGCUGCGAAAGCUAGGGGAGCAAACAGGAUUAGAUACCCUGGUAGUCC
Molecule: ribosomal RNA, 450 nt
Filed under: uncultured bacterium
Lineage: Bacteria
Description: bacterial SSU rRNA
Rfam family: Bacterial small subunit ribosomal RNA
Source: RNAcentral